UUACGGCCAUAUAGCGUUCAAACAUAGGUUCCCAUACGAACACAAAAGUUAAGCAACGUUAAGCCUGGUUAGUACCUAGAUGGGUGAUCACUUGGGAAUACCAAGUACUGUAA
This is a non-coding RNA of Acanthosepion pharaonis, 113 nucleotides long. NCBI's taxonomy places the organism in Eukaryota, Metazoa, Mollusca, Cephalopoda, Sepiida, Sepiidae. The record is from the annotation of a GenBank genome assembly.